Pezoporus occidentalis (night parrot) is the source of this 615-nucleotide long non-coding RNA. RefSeq lists it as uncharacterized. The transcript is spliced from 6 exons. Lineage: Eukaryota; Metazoa; Chordata; Aves; Psittaciformes; Psittacidae. The record is from RefSeq and is a predicted model, not a curated record.
AUAAAGGCUUGGUCUGCUUUGCCUGAGUAUCCUAAUUAAUAAUAAUGAAAUACUGAAAAUACCCUUUGAGAGUCUGAAGUCAUUCAGCCACCCCUGGUUUCCCAGUUCUCCUGCAAAAUCCUCUCCAAUCAACCUCCACUUCAGCCUCUACAAGAUGCACAGCACUGAGCUAGCCAGCCCUUUGACCUGACCUACUCCACAGAAGUGCUUCUGCUCUUGCAUUCCCUGAACCUGGGAAGAGCCAUACCCAAUGUGAAGUUUUUCAGAGGUGGAAACCUCCAGCACAGGAAUAGCGGUGUCUCGGUGAAGAGAGUCGUCUGCAAAGAGAGUGUGGCUCAGUAUUGUGUGUAAAUCUUGUGGCCUCUGAAAGAUACAACAGCAGCACACUGUCUUCAUUUAGUACCAGGGCUGAGAGGACAGUAAAUAUGUGAUCUGGCAUACAGUCUGCACAAAGUUAAUCCCUUCAGAAUUUCUAGAACAAAUCUGAAGCAGUCAGCAUUUCUUCUACUCUAAAGUCAGGGAUUCUGGGAAUAGAAGGAGGCAAAAUUCUAGAACAGAGUGUACGUAGCAAAAAUAAAUUGUGUCCUUUCAUGAUGCUAUUAUCAGAUCUGCAAA